UCCUAGCAGUAAACGAUGCGGGCUAGGUGUUGGCAUCACUGCGAGUGGUGCCAGUGCCGAAGGGAAGCCGUUAAGCCCGCCAUCUGGGGAGUACGGUCGCAAGGCUGAAACUUAAAGGAAUUGGCGGGGGAGCACAGCAACGGGAGGAGCGUGCGGUUUAAUUGGAUUCAACGCCGGAAAGCUUACCAGGGGAACUGGUAUGGGGCCACUGAAGCCUUGCUCGAAUAAUGG
This 231-nucleotide ribosomal RNA is filed under the name uncultured bacterium. RNAcentral describes it as "partial 16S ribosomal RNA". It matches the Rfam family "Archaeal small subunit ribosomal RNA", at positions 745 to 982 of the family's 1478-position model. The record is from RNAcentral.